UAACCGGCUUUGGAUCCAUCUCCUUCACCGGUCCAACAUUCAAAAUAGGUCAACGACACCUCUAAAACGACGGAAGGUAAUGAAAGAAUGUGGAGCAGAUCAAACAAGAGGCACGUCACCUUCCAUGAGCCGCGUUAUGGAGCUGCGUCAUGGAGUUGUUCGGUGUUAUAUUGCUGUCGUGCUUCAACCUUCUCAUUCAUUUCUUCUCAUCGUCAAUCAAAUUCAGGCGCGGAUCACAUUGAUGCAUACUUCAUCUCUCGGUCUCGCAUUCGAUCAUCCUCGUCGUGAUUCAAUAAUGCAAGCGUCCAAGUAUCUAAUUCGCCUGUACUGAAUUGCGAUGGCGUCACCAAAUAGAGCUAAAACACAAUGAAGAGAAGACGAAGAACAUACCGGUUGCGGCGCUGCUUGCAAGAACAUGUAAGCUUCAUCUUAAAUUCGAACUCUUCGACACGUUCGUGUUGGUUGUGAUCCUGCUCUCUUCCUCUCUUCUGAACUUUUUCUCUUUCCACUUUACAACGCUUGCGUGAAGGAGUUUCGGCUACAGAAUCCGGUGAAAUCCAGUUGCGGCAUUCAGUUGCAGAAUCGAUUUUCCAAAUCCAGCUGCAAAAUGAAGUUGAAGUAUUCAGUUGCAGAAUGGAGAAGAAGUAUUCAGUUACAGAAUGGAGAAGAAGUACUCAGUUGCAGAAUGGAGAAGAAGAUGAUUGUAGCUUGCAGUGGAUCCCGAAGCUUGAAGUGGAGAAAAUUGCAGAAUUGCUUGAAGUGAAGAAAAUUGCAGCAUUGUUUGAAGUGAAGAAGCUGAAAUGUUAUAUAGAGGAAGGAAAAGUUAUAACCGAAUUGGGAAGUGCGGGCAACUUGGUUAGGGUAGGUAAAUUUUGUUAGAUUCCAAAGUGUAACUUUGUUGUGUGAGUUAAUAGUGUGAGGAACUGUUAGAUUCUUUUGAGUUCAGAUAGGAUUAGGCUAUUAGAGGUGUCAGUCUGUUAGUGAAGUUUGUUACAGGUUAGCUGCCAAUGGUUAGUGAUUCAGUUGGGUUAGUUAGAGUGAAAUUAGAAGGAUUCCUUUGCAAUGUUCAGUUGGAUACUAGGUGAAUUGUUAGUUAGGAUCAAUUAGCGAUAUGCGGACUAGUUUAUUCAAAGGAUAAAGCUUGUAUUGUCAUUAUGUUAGUAACUACAAUCCAAAUUCGGUUAAUGGGUUUAUGUAGAUUUGGUUAAUUGAAUGAAACUGAAAUGAUCUUGUUUUAUAUUUGAGGUGAAUUUGAGGUUCAUUUGGAAGCUGAAUUUGGAGAGUUAUGUCAUGAAGCUGCAAUUUGGCUUGGACCGGGAUGUUAUUCUGCAUCAUUCUGCAAUGGCCUAUGUCAGAAUCUCUUCCUGCUUAUGAGUGUUUGAAGCAAUCAUGUUUGUAUGUUAUGCUGCAGCAAUAUGCAGGCUGGAUGGGAGUUCAUUUUUCCUUCACGAGUUUGUUUGAAAUGUUAAUGUGAACUUGUUGAAAAAGAUGGAUUGUGUAUGGUUGGCCAAUGGCUUGAAGUGCAUUGGAUAUGCUUGGACAUGUGGAAUGGCUAUGAGGCUUGGGCUAGGAUGCAAUGGAGUGUCUUGGCUUGGUUGGAAUUGAUUUUUAGACAAUAUUCUUUUGGGAUUUGAAUGUUGAAUUUGGAUUGUAAUUUAGUUGUAAAUUGAAAUGAAUUAUGUAUGUUAGAAGAUGAAUUGGAAUGUAUAGAUGUAACUUUUGAAUGGAAAUUAUAUUGGUUCGAAUUUGACUUAUGAAUGAAA
Lathyrus oleraceus (garden pea) is the source of this 1763-nucleotide RNA transcript. RefSeq lists it as uncharacterized. The record is from RefSeq and is a predicted model, not a curated record. Lineage: Eukaryota; Viridiplantae; Streptophyta; Magnoliopsida; Fabales; Fabaceae. The transcript is spliced from 3 exons.